GGUGGCUCAGUGGUAGAGUGCUUGCUUUGCAUGCAUAAGGCCUGGGUUCAAUUCCUCAGCACCA
This 64-nucleotide transfer RNA is filed under the name Dipodomys ordii (Ord's kangaroo rat). It matches the Rfam family "tRNA". Rfam says of the family: Transfer RNA (tRNA) molecules are approximately 80 nucleotides in length. Their secondary structure includes four short double-helical elements and three loops (D, anti-codon, and T loops). Lineage: Eukaryota; Metazoa; Chordata; Mammalia; Rodentia; Heteromyidae. The record is from Rfam by way of RNAcentral.